UGGGGUAUCUUAGGCAAUGGAGGAAACUCUGACCUAGCUACGCCGCGUGCAGGAAGACACCCCUACGGGGCGUAAACUGCUUUUCUGCGAGAAGAAGGCGCCAUAUUCUGGCGUUUGACGGUACCGCAGGAAUAAGGACCGGCUAACUCCGUGCCAGCAGCCGCGGUAAUACGGAGGGUCCAAGCGUUGUCCGAAAUUACUGGGUGUAAAGGGUGUGCAGGCGGAGCAGUAAGUCAGAGGUGAAAGCCCGCGGCUCAACCGCGGAAUGGCCUUUGAUACUGCUGUUCUUGAGUCCCGGAGAAGCCAUCGGAAUUCGUGGUGUAGCGGUGAAAUGCGUAGAUAUCACGAGGAACAUCAGAAGCGUAAGCGGACAACUGGACGGUGACUGACGCUCAGGCACGAAAGCGUGGGGAGCAAACAGGAUUAGAUACCCCCGUAGUCC
Molecule: ribosomal RNA, 442 nt
Filed under: uncultured prokaryote
Description: bacterial SSU rRNA
Rfam family: Bacterial small subunit ribosomal RNA
Source: RNAcentral